Molecule: long non-coding RNA, 551 nt
Organism: Sebastes umbrosus (honeycomb rockfish)
Lineage: Eukaryota; Metazoa; Chordata; Actinopteri; Perciformes; Sebastidae
Exons: 2
Source: RefSeq, a predicted model, not a curated record
CAAAGGCCCGUAAAAUAAAACCAACACUCUCCAGGAAGUCUCGAGGUUGCCAUAGAGAACAAAGGCACCUGAGCCCACAACACUUACACGGGUCUUAAGGUUAUGACCAGCGCUUCAACACUCUAUACGCCUCUGGACUCCUCAGCUCAACAGCGCACUGAAGACUCUUAAAUCUCAACAAAUCAUGGGUUGCAACACAAGCCGGGGCACCACAGUGGUGGACCCUUCUGAAGAGCCAGGGGAGAGGCCGAAGACGGCCACUUCCACCGAGGCGGCGUCCACGGAGGAAACCAAUGGAACGACAAACAAAGAUAAAGACGAACAAACGGAGAUUUCCAGCUGAGUGCCAUCUUUACACCUCACCCUAAACUCUUCUCAAAAUUGGCCUGUCCGGGGUGAAGGAGGGCCUGUCAGCGGGAGGAGGCGACGCUGCACUACUGUCCAUCAACCUCUGCGUCAUCUGGGCCAAACAAACACACUUCGGAAGAAAUUCAGCUCUUAUGUUCAUAUUCCAGAAACUAUUUUGUGAUAAAUACAUAUUGAUACAAAUA